RNAcentral lists this ribosomal RNA (1372 nucleotides) under uncultured bacterium. RNAcentral's name for it is "bacterial SSU rRNA". It matches the Rfam family "Bacterial small subunit ribosomal RNA", at positions 28 to 1381 of the family's 1533-position model. The record is from RNAcentral.
GAUGAACGCUGGCGGCGUGCCUAAUACAUGCAAGUCGAGCGAACGGACGAGAAGCUUGCUUCUCUGAUGUUAGCGGCGGACGGGUGAGUAACACGUGGAUAACCUACCUAUAAGACUGGGAUAACUUCGGGAAACCGGAGCUAAUACCGGAUAAUAUUUUGAACCGCAUGGUUCAAAAGUGAAAGACGGUCUUGCUGUCACUUAUAGAUGGAUCCGCGCUGCAUUAGCUAGUUGGUAAGGUAACGGCUUACCAGGGCAACGAUGCAUAGCCGACCUGAGAGGGUGAUCGGCCACACUGGAACUGAGACACGGUCCAGACUCCUACGGGAGGCAGCAGUAGGGAAUCUUCCGCAAUGGGCGAAAGCCUGACGGAGCAACGCCGCGUGAGUGAUGAAGGUCUUCGGAUCGUAAAACUCUGUUAUUAGGGAAGAACAUAUGUGUAAGUAACUGUGCACAUCUUGACGGUACCUAAUCAGAAAGCCACGGCUAACUACGUGCCAGCAGCCGCGGUAAUACGUAGGUGGCAAGCGUUAUCCGGAAUUAUUGGGCGUAAAGCGCGCGUAGGCGGUUUUUUAAGUCUGAUGUGAAAGCCCACGGCUCAACCGUGGAGGGUCAUUGGAAACUGGAAAACUUGAGUGCAGAAGAGGAAAGUGGAAUUCCAUGUGUAGCGGUGAAAUGCGCAGAGAUAUGGAGGAACACCAGUGGCGAAGGCGACUUUCUGGUCUGUAACUGACGCUGAUGUGCGAAAGCGUGGGGAUCAAACAGGAUUAGAUACCCUGGUAGUCCACGCCGUAAACGAUGAGUGCUAAGUGUUAGGGGGUUUCCGCCCCUUAGUGCUGCAGCUAACGCAUUAAGCACUCCGCCUGGGGAGUACGACCGCAAGGUUGAAACUCGAAGGAAUCGACGGGGACCCGCACAAGCGGUGGAGCAUGUGGUUUAAUUCGAAGCAACGCGAAGAACCUUACCAAAUCUUGACAUCCUUUGACAACUCUAGAGAUAGAGCCUUCCCCUUCGGGGGACAAAGUGACAGGUGGUGCAUGGUUGUCGUCAGCUCGUGUCGUGAGAUGUUGGGUUAAGUCCCGCAACGAGCGCAACCCUUAAGCUUAGUUGCCAUCAUUAAGUUGGGCACUCUAAGUUGACUGCCGGUGACAAACCGGAGGAAGGUGGGGAUGACGUCAAAUCAUCAUGCCCCUUAUGAUUUGGGCUACACACGUGCUACAAUGGACAAUACAAAGGGCAGCGAAACCGCGAGGUCAAGCAAAUCCCAUAAAGUUGUUCUCAGUUCGGAUUGUAGUCUGCAACUCGACUACAUGAAGCUGGAAUCGCUAGUAAUCGUAGAUCAGCAUGCUACGGUGAAUACGUUCCCGGGUCU